CAGAUAGUAUGUAAAUGCAAAGAGUAUUUUAUUCUGCCGAAGUCCACCAUGCUGCAGACUCCCAUUACCAGAAUAGAGAGACGCCCAAGUGAGCUCACAAGCCUGAUUUAAAGCAUAUUAGGGAAUCCUGGGGCAGGUGACCUCUAUGUUAAUCUGUUAGGUCCAUCUCUAAGGAUAUUCCAUUAUGCAGGUUGGGGCUGGGAACCUGCUGGGGAGGACUGGAAAGGGCUACUGACCUGUUGUCCUUGCCUGAGGCCAGGUGUCAGGGCAGCUUCUGAGGCCUGGACUUUCCCAGUUUUUGGAAACAGAGAUUUAGGCCUGGUCUCUUCAACUGCCAAUUUGAAGCCUGUCAUGGAAUCAGUCUAGUCUUCUCAAAGUGAAACUUAGACCAUGGCUAUUUUAUUUGGCUUUGACAAUAACUGGAAGGUAACCUCUAAUCUACUCUUCUAACUGCUGGCCUGACUACCCUCCCACCCCCCAGCAGUGUACCCCAGAUACUUGCUGUUUCUCCCAGCCAUGUGCUCUUUGGCCAUCUCCCCUCAAGGCGGCUUCAUCUUCCUCCUCCUCAUCCUCUACCUCCUCUUCCUCCUCCUCUCUCCUCUCCAUCCUCCACCCCCAACCAGGUAACUCAAAACCCACCUGCCUCCAACCCCUCCAGUAAUUGGCUGUAGCCCAUUUUAUUUAACCAAUAGUUUUAAAUUACGGAAAAAGGUUUGCACAACAAAAGCCGUUAACCGUGAGAAUUCACUCCUAGGCCUAGACCUUCUGGUGCAGAAUUUAGGAUUACAACGCACAGCAACAGACCAAACCUCAACAGGGAACAGGAAAGGGUGCAGGGAGGACUAUCAGAGGUGUCCUUCAACAGAGAAACAAGGCAAGAAAUGCGUCUGUGAAAAGCCGGAGAGAUGGCUUGGUGGACACCAAGAGAACAGGGAAACGGCUGCAUGUGAAGGGCUGUGCAAGCAAGCCUUUGAAGACUAGACAGCACACUGUCCCUUCAAAUGAGACCAACUCUUACCCUCUGAAGAAAAAGCCAUGCCACCUGAAACACCCAUCAUUUCACUAAGGUGGGUUGUUCCCUCUGGAGAGCUAUUAAAGGGGAUAGCUCUGAUUCUAUUAAAUGUAAUUUUUCCAGAGUAAGACUACACACAACUGGAGAGUAAAUGUCACAAAGGAAAAUGAGGAAAUAAGAUGAGCCCAAAUUACAAAAAAGAAAAAAGAAAAGGGACAAUGGGAUAGAGGACAGGAGAGGAAGGCAAGAGGGCAUGAAGGCCAAUGGUGCCUGGAAGUCCACAGAAGCCUGCUGUGGACUUGAAGGAGCACCGAGCUAUUCACUGUGCUUCCUGUGUUCCUGGCUCCUGGAUGUGGGGCCAU
This 1374-nucleotide long non-coding RNA is filed under the name Mus spicilegus (steppe mouse). RNAcentral describes it as "lncRNA (ENSMSIG00000020671.1)". Lineage: Eukaryota; Metazoa; Chordata; Mammalia; Rodentia; Muridae. The record is from RNAcentral.